CUUCAGCGAGCCGAGCCACAGCGGGUCGGCGUCACGGUCCCGGCCGUACGUGGCCAGCAGCGCGCCCGCCUC
RNAcentral lists this antisense RNA (72 nucleotides) under Streptomyces eurocidicus. RNAcentral's name for it is "ASpks sRNA". It matches the Rfam family "ASpks TB sRNA". Lineage: Bacteria; Bacillati; Actinomycetota; Actinomycetes; Kitasatosporales; Streptomycetaceae. The record is from RNAcentral.